UCAAAUGCGACGAAGAGAAAAGUAAAUAAAUGAAUUCUUUCACAGAGAGCUCCGUUUGCUGAAAAGGAGUAAGGGUUCCUUAUUGAAGAAAGUCUCAGAGCAGCACAUCGGAGCCCAUGAUCGUUGGGGGGUGGUGUGCCAGGAGCUCCUGUUACAGAGCUAGAGUAUAAGCAUUGCAUCGUAAUGCCGUACUUGAAGAGGCUAAUAUGGCGACAUAUUGGCGAAUUUGGGGUGGUACCACGAGUAUACAAAUCUCGUCCCUAAG
RNAcentral lists this non-coding RNA (265 nucleotides) under Bacillus sp. (in: firmicutes). RNAcentral describes it as "Bacillus sp. T-box sequence". It matches the Rfam family "T-box leader". From Rfam's summary of the family: Uncharged tRNA acts as the effector for transcription antitermination of genes in the T-box leader family. T-boxes are found upstream of many aminoacyl-tRNA synthetase genes and some amino acid biosynthetic genes usually in Gram-positive bacteria. Lineage: Bacteria; Bacillati; Bacillota; Bacilli; Caryophanales; Bacillaceae. The record is from RNAcentral.